GAUGAACGCUAGCGGGAGGCCUAACACAUGCAAGCCGAGCGGUAGAAGAUCUUCGGAUCUUUGAGAGCGGCGUACGGGUGCGGAACACGUGUGCAACCUGCCUUUAUCAGGGAGAUAGCCUUUCGAAAGGAAGAUUAAUAUCCCAUAAUAUUUUGAAUGGCAUCAUUUAAAAUUGAAAGCUCCGGCGGAUAGAGAUGGGCACGCGCAAGAUUAGAUAGUUGGCGGGGUAACGGCCCACCAAGUCAAUGAUCUUUAGGGGGCCUGAGAGGGUGAUCCCCCACACUGGUACUGAGACACGGACCAGACUCCUACGGGAGGCAGCAGUGAGGAAUAUUGGACAAUGGGUGAGAGCCURAUCCAKCCAUCCYGCGUGAAGGACGACGGCCSUAUGGGUUGUAAACUUCUU
This 406-nucleotide ribosomal RNA is filed under the name Chryseobacterium sp. R-41720. RNAcentral describes it as "bacterial SSU rRNA". It matches the Rfam family "Bacterial small subunit ribosomal RNA", at positions 28 to 435 of the family's 1533-position model. The record is from RNAcentral. Lineage: Bacteria; Pseudomonadati; Bacteroidota; Flavobacteriia; Flavobacteriales; Weeksellaceae.